GGAAGUGGUAGCUCAGCAGUUAAAACGUCGGACUUCUGAUCGGACGGGUAUGGGUUCAAAUCCCAGCACUGCCA
Ameiurus melas (black bullhead) is the source of this 74-nucleotide non-coding RNA. Lineage: Eukaryota; Metazoa; Chordata; Actinopteri; Siluriformes; Ictaluridae. The record is from the annotation of a GenBank genome assembly.